Non-coding RNA from Penaeus vannamei (Pacific white shrimp), 487 nucleotides. Lineage: Eukaryota; Metazoa; Arthropoda; Malacostraca; Decapoda; Penaeidae. The record is from RefSeq and is a predicted model, not a curated record.
CUACCUACCCCCCACCACAGCCCACCCCCACCCUAUACAUAUGGGCCACCUGCCACGACAACAACAGAGAAGCCGAAGUACUGGUUCGACUGGGCAGUAAACGACCAUUAUUCCGGCAACGAAUAUAACAUGCAGGAACACCGCGACGGGGAGAAGACCGAAGGAUUCUACAACGUUUUGCUUCCCGACACGCGAGUCCAGAGGGUCUCUUACACUGUCGACGGCGACUCCGGUUUCGUGGCUGAAGUUACUUACGAAGGAGAGGCGAAGGAACCUACAAACAGACAGACUUAUCUGCCGCCCACCCCUCCUACACCUCCUCCUUCAAUCUAUGAUGUCCCUCAUUAAUUCUCUUAGUGUAUCGAACGAUUAUUUAUUACUUAAUAUUCUAGCAUUUCCAAAUGAAAAUUAUGAAUGGCUGAUUAACAAUCAUCAGUGUUUUUCUGGUGUGACUUAAGAGCUGAAAUAUAGUAAUUGGCGGCUUAAU